CAGCCGCCGCGGUAAUACGUAGGGUGCGAGCGUUAAUCGGAUUUACUGGGCGUAAAGCGUGCGCAGGCGGCCCGUUAAGACAGGUGUGAAAUCCCUGGGCUCAACCUAGGAAUUGCGCUUGUGACUGGCGGGCUCGAGUACGGUAGAGGGGGGUGGAAUUCCUGGUGUAGCAGUGAAAUGCGUAGAGAUCAGGAGGAACACCGAUGGCGAAGGCAGCCCCCUGGGCCUGUACUGACGCUCAUGCACGAAAGCGUGGGGAGCAAACAGGAUUAGAUACCCUGGUAGUCCACGCCCUAAACGAUGGGUACUAGCCGUUUGGUGCGCGAGAGCGCUGAGUGGCGAAGCUAACGCGUGAAGUACCCCGCCUGGGGAGUACGGCCGCAAGGUUGAAACUUAAAGGAAUUAGCGGG
RNAcentral lists this ribosomal RNA (410 nucleotides) under uncultured microorganism. Its description in RNAcentral is "bacterial SSU rRNA". It matches the Rfam family "Bacterial small subunit ribosomal RNA", at positions 509 to 917 of the family's 1533-position model. The record is from RNAcentral.